UGAAGUCCACCUGCAGCAGUCUCUACCUAAGGUAGUGAAGGCUGGGCCUUCAGUGAAGAUAUCCUGCAAGGCUUCUGGUUACUCAUUCACUGGCUACUACAUGCACUGGGUGAAGCAGAGCCAUGGAAAGAUCCUUCAAAGGAUUGAAUAUGUUAAUCCUUAUAAUGGUGGUACUGGCUACAAUGAAAAGUUCAAGGACAAGGCCACAUUGACUGCAGACAAAUCCUUCAGCACAGCCUAUAUGCAAUUCAGCAGCCUGACAUCUGAGGACUCUCUGGUCUAUUACUGUGCAAGA
Mus musculus (house mouse) is the source of this 295-nucleotide non-coding RNA. Lineage: Eukaryota; Metazoa; Chordata; Mammalia; Rodentia; Muridae. The record is from the annotation of a RefSeq genome assembly.